Molecule: ribosomal RNA, 245 nt
Filed under: uncultured bacterium
Lineage: Bacteria
Description: partial 16S ribosomal RNA
Rfam family: Bacterial small subunit ribosomal RNA
Source: RNAcentral
UACGUAGGGAGCGAGCGUUAUCCGGAAUUAUUGGGUGUAAAGCGUGUGUAGGCGGGAAAUUAAGUCUAAGGUCUAAGCCCGGAGCUCAACUCCGGAUCGCCUUAGAAACUGAUUUUCUUGAGUAUGGUAGAGGCAAAUGGAAUUUCUAGUGUAGCGGUAAAAUGCGUAGAUAUUAGAAGGAACACCAGUGGCGAAGGCGAUUUGCUGGGCCAAAACUGACGCUGAGACACGAAAGCGUGGGGAGC